GAUGAACGCUGGCGGCGUGCUUAACACAUGCAAGUCGAACGAUGAAGCCCAGCUUGCUGGGUGGAUUAGUGGCGAACGGGUGAGUAACACGUGAGUAACCUGCCCUUGACUCUGGGAUAAGCCCGGGAAACUGGGUCUAAUACCGGAUAGGAGCGCCUGUCGCAUGACGGGUGUUGGAAAGAUUUUUCGGUCAUGGAUGGACUCGCGGCCUAUCAGCUUGUUGGUGAGGUAAUGGCUCACCAAGGCGACGACGGGUAGCCGGCCUGAGAGGGUGACCGGCCACACUGGGACUGAGACACGGCCCAGACUCCUACGGGAGGCAGCAGUGGGGAAUAUUGCACAAUGGGCGGAAGCCUGAUGCAGCGACGCCGCGUGAGGGAUGACGGCCUUCGGGUUGUAAACCUCUUUCAGUAGGGAAGAAGCGAAAGUGUCGGUACCUGCAGAAGAAGCACCGGCUAACUACGUG
Molecule: ribosomal RNA, 466 nt
Filed under: uncultured bacterium
Lineage: Bacteria
Description: partial 16S ribosomal RNA
Rfam family: Bacterial small subunit ribosomal RNA
Source: RNAcentral